This 497-nucleotide ribosomal RNA is filed under the name uncultured bacterium. Its description in RNAcentral is "partial 16S ribosomal RNA". It matches the Rfam family "Bacterial small subunit ribosomal RNA", at positions 28 to 507 of the family's 1533-position model. The record is from RNAcentral.
GAUGAACGCUGGCGGCGUGCCUAAUACAUGCAAGUCGAGCGAACGGACGAGAAGCUUGCUUUUCUGAUGUUAGCGGCGGACGGGUGAGUAACACGUGGAUAACCUACCUAUAAGACUGGGAUAACUUCGGGAAACCGGAGCUAAUACCGGAUAAUAUUUUGAACCGCAUGGUUCAAAAGUGAAAGACGGUCUUGCUGUCACUUCUAGAUGGAUCCGCGCUGCAUUAGCUAGUUGGUAAGGUAACGGCUUACCAAGGCAACGAUGCAUAGCCGACCUGAGAGGGUGAUCGGCCACACUGGAAGUGGGACACGGUCCAGACUCCUACGGGAGGCAGCAGUAGGGAAUCUUCGGCAAUGGGCGAAAGCCUGACGGAGCAGCGCCGCGUGAGUGAUGAAGGUCUUCGGAUCGUAAAACUCUGUUAUUAGGGAAGAACAUAUGUGUAAGUAACUGUGCACAUCUUGACGGUACCUAAUCAGAAAGCCACGGCUAACUACGUG